RNAcentral lists this long non-coding RNA (291 nucleotides) under Homo sapiens (human). RNAcentral describes it as "HSALNT0409224". The record is from RNAcentral. Lineage: Eukaryota; Metazoa; Chordata; Mammalia; Primates; Hominidae.
ACUCUGCUGCCUCUACCUGCUGACAACUCACAUCAAUGCCUGGGUGUAUGGAUCUUGCUGGAAAAUCAAAAUGUAACUGGCAAAGAGAAAUGCAGAGGUUCAAUAUUGUGCAAGGUAGGAGGAAGGCAGGUAGGAGACUUGCUGAUAAGAUAAAUGUUGAAUGAAUAACAGUAGAUAAUCUGCCAAUUGUUGGGCUGAUGGUAAAAAGUAUGAAGGAAGUUUUCUUAGACUGACUCAUCAACCUGGAAUUGAAGCAAGUGCAUGGUGGGGAGAUGCUGGCUUUCAUGGGAG